This 515-nucleotide ribosomal RNA is filed under the name Aspisoma sp. KSHX47. RNAcentral describes it as "SSU rRNA". It matches the Rfam family "Eukaryotic small subunit ribosomal RNA", at positions 752 to 1256 of the family's 1831-position model. Lineage: Eukaryota; Metazoa; Arthropoda; Insecta; Coleoptera; Lampyridae. The record is from RNAcentral.
UCACUUGAACAAAAUUAAAGUGCUAAAGCAGGCUAAAUUGCGCUCGCAUACACGCGCAUGGAAUAAUCGAAUAGGACCUCCGUUCUAUUUUGUUGGGUUUUUGUGGAACGACAGACGGAGGUAAUGAUCAAUGGGUGCGGAUGGGGGCAUUCGUAUUGCGACGUUAGAGGUGAAAUUCUUGGAUCGUCGCAAGACGGACUUAAGCGAAAGCAUUUGCCAAAAACGCUUUCAUCGAUCAAGAACGAAAGUUAGAGGUUCGAAGGCGAUCAGAUACCGCCCUAGUUCUAACCAUAAACUAUGCCAGCUAGCGAUCCGCCGAAGUUACUUCUAUGACUCGGCGGGCAGCUUCCGGGAAACCAAAGCUUUCGGGUUCCGGGGGAAGUAUGGUUGCAAAGCUGAAACUUAAAGGAAUUGACGGAAGGGCACCACCAGGAGUGGAGCCUGCGGCUUAAUUUGACUCAACACGGGAAACCUCACCAGGCCCGGACACCGGAAGGAUUGACAGAUUGAGAGCU